UAGAGUUUGAUCCUGGCUCAGAUUGAACGCUGGCGGCAUGCCUUACACAUGCAAGUCGGACGGCAGCGCGGGCUUCGGCCUGGCGGCGAGUGGCGAACGGGUGAGUAAUACAUCGGAACGUGUCCUGGAGUGGGGGAUAGCCCGGCGAAAGCCGGAUUAAUACCGCAUACGCUCUGCGGAGGAAAGCGGGGGACCUUCGGGCCUCGCGCUCAAGGGGCGGCCGAUGGCAGAUUAGCUAGUUGGUGGGGUAAAGGCCUACCAAGGCGACGAUCUGUAGCUGGUCUGAGAGGACGACCAGCCACACUGGGACUGAGACACGGCCCAGACUCCUACGGGAGGCAGCAGUGGGGAAUUUUGGACAAUGGGGGCAACCCUGAUCCAGCAAUGCCGCGUGUGUGAAGAAGGCCUUCGGGUUGUAAAGCACUUUUGUCCGGAAAGAAAGCGUCCUGGCUAAUACCCGGGGCGGAUGACGGUACCGGAAGAAUAAGCACCGGCUAACUACGUGCCAGCAGCCGCGGUAAUACGUAGGGUGCGAGCGUUAAUCGGAAUUACUGGGCGUAAAGCGUGCGCAGGCGGUUCGCUAAGACCGAUGUGAAAUCCCCGGGCUUAACCUGGGAACUGCAUUGGUGACUGGCGGGCUAGAGUAUGGCAGAGGGAGGUAGAAUUCCACGUGUAGCAGUGAAAUGCGUAGAGAUGUGGAGGAAUACCGAUGGCG
RNAcentral lists this ribosomal RNA (715 nucleotides) under bacterium enrichment culture clone SC-2_55. RNAcentral describes it as "bacterial SSU rRNA". It matches the Rfam family "Bacterial small subunit ribosomal RNA", at positions 1 to 717 of the family's 1533-position model. The record is from RNAcentral.